Molecule: unclassified non-coding RNA, 256 nt
Filed under: Hevea brasiliensis (rubber tree)
Lineage: Eukaryota; Viridiplantae; Streptophyta; Magnoliopsida; Malpighiales; Euphorbiaceae
Source: RNAcentral
ACUUUUAGAUUGAUUAAAGGAGAGACCAUUGGAACCAUAUGUCAUACUCACUGCUGUAGCAUAUUACUAUAUAAUAAUCUCAAGUUUGUUGCAUAAAAUGAUUCAAGUUGAAACAGAAGAGUUCCACUAAAUCAAGAUGCAAAUAUGGUCAAUGAAGGUUUCCAACAACAAUGAAGUGGCAUGAAGAAAAGCAGGCAAAACCAAAGUUUAUGCCUAACCAAGCACGCCACAACUCUGGAAGUUAGUUAGAGAAAAG